RNAcentral lists this non-coding RNA (210 nucleotides) under Oreochromis niloticus (Nile tilapia). Its description in RNAcentral is "Eukaryotic small subunit ribosomal RNA". It matches the Rfam family "Eukaryotic small subunit ribosomal RNA", at positions 1223 to 1480 of the family's 1831-position model. Lineage: Eukaryota; Metazoa; Chordata; Actinopteri; Cichliformes; Cichlidae. The record is from Rfam by way of RNAcentral.
ACUGUACAAUACAAAGCACUUGUGGGUGGUGGGUGGUGGUGCAUGGCCGUUCUUAGUUGGUGGAGCGAUUUGUCUGGUUAAUUGCGAUAACGAUCGAGACUCCGACAUGCUAACUAGUUACUCGACCCCGUGCGGUCCGAGUUCGACUUCUUAGAGGGACAAGUGGCGUUCAGCCACACGAGAUUGAGCAUCUGUGAUGCCCUUAGAUGU